RNAcentral lists this small RNA (182 nucleotides) under Arabidopsis thaliana (thale cress). RNAcentral describes it as "ATSL155610". Lineage: Eukaryota; Viridiplantae; Streptophyta; Magnoliopsida; Brassicales; Brassicaceae. The record is from RNAcentral.
AUUUAUUCAAAUAAUUAUACAUAUAUUAACACAGUUAUACAUCUUCAUCUUCUACUUCAUCUUCGUCCGAGGACGAUAAAUUACAUCGGAAUUCGUCUUCUGGUUCAGCAUCCCCGACAUCGUAAUUAAGGAUUAUUGGGUUUAAGUUGGCUACCGGAGUUUCAAGAACAGGAUCUUCAAUU